RNAcentral lists this ribosomal RNA (559 nucleotides) under uncultured Geobacter sp. RNAcentral's name for it is "bacterial SSU rRNA". It matches the Rfam family "Bacterial small subunit ribosomal RNA", at positions 65 to 602 of the family's 1533-position model. The record is from RNAcentral. Lineage: Bacteria; Pseudomonadati; Thermodesulfobacteriota; Desulfuromonadia; Geobacterales; Geobacteraceae.
AACGAGAAAGGGGCUCGGCCCUGAGUAUUGUGGCGCACGGGUGAGUAACACGUAGGUAACCUGCCUCUGAGAUUGGGAUAACUCGUCGAAAGAUGGGCUAAUACCAAAUAAGACACGGGCUCUUUGGGAUCUGAGGUCAAAGGUAGCCUCUAUUUAUAAGCUAUCGCUGAGAGAUGGGCCUGCGCACCAUUAGCUAGUUGGUAGGGUAACGGCCUACCAAGGCAAAGAUGGUUAGCUGGUCUGAGAGGAUGAUCAGCCACACUGGAACUGAGACACGGUCCAGACUCCUACGGGAGGCAGCAGUGGGGAAUAUUGCGCAAUGGGCGAAAGCCUGACGCAGCAACGCCGCGUGAGUGAUGAAGGCCUUCGGGUCGUAAAGCUCUGUCGGAGGGAACGAAUGCUUUCGGGGUUAACAGCCCCGAGAAGUGACGGUACCCUCAAAGGAAGCACCGGCUAACUCUGUGCCAGCAGCCGCGGUAAUACAGAGGGUGCUAGCGUCGUUCGGAAUCAUUGGGCGUAAAGGGCGUGUACGCGGUUUGUUAAGUCAUGUGUGAAAUCC